Non-coding RNA from Drosophila melanogaster (fruit fly), 129 nucleotides. Lineage: Eukaryota; Metazoa; Arthropoda; Insecta; Diptera; Drosophilidae. The record is from Ensembl.
AAAAGUAACUUUCGUAAUCGAAAAAGUUUCGCUUUUUUUUCUGCUUCUGCCGCUGAGCAAGUUUUAAAUAUUACCGCUUAGUUACAGCUGCAGGAAGAAAAGUUAUAAUUAUGGACUACGUACAUAAAU